UACGUAGGGCGCAAGCGUUGUCCGGAAUUAUUGGGCGUAAAGAGCUCGUAGGCGGUUUGUCGCGUCUGUCGUGAAAGCUUGGGGCUUAACCCCAAGUCUGCAGUGGGUACGGGCAGACUAGAGUGCGGUAGGGGAGACUGGAAUUCCUGGUGUAGCGGUGAAAUGCGCAGAUAUCAGGAGGAACACCGGUGGCGAAGGCGGGUCUCUGGGCCGUAACUGACGCUGAGGAGCGAAAGCGUGGGGAGCGAACAGG
This 253-nucleotide ribosomal RNA is filed under the name uncultured bacterium. Its description in RNAcentral is "partial 16S ribosomal RNA". It matches the Rfam family "Bacterial small subunit ribosomal RNA", at positions 524 to 776 of the family's 1533-position model. The record is from RNAcentral.